RNAcentral lists this non-coding RNA (28 nucleotides) under Homo sapiens (human). The record is from RNAcentral. Lineage: Eukaryota; Metazoa; Chordata; Mammalia; Primates; Hominidae.
UGACAGUGAUCUUCACCUCAUCUGCACC